RNAcentral lists this microRNA precursor (89 nucleotides) under Canis lupus familiaris (dog). Its description in RNAcentral is "mir-8799 microRNA precursor family". It matches the Rfam family "mir-8799 microRNA precursor family". The record is from Rfam by way of RNAcentral. Lineage: Eukaryota; Metazoa; Chordata; Mammalia; Carnivora; Canidae.
GUGGGGAGGCUGGAUCCUGGACGGUGUCCUGGCGCCCUGUGCUCCGGGGCCUGCGCUGCUGGAUUCGCGCUCCCGCCCCGCAGCCCCCU